CCCUUAGAUGUUCUGGGCCGCACGCGCGCUACACUGAUGCAUUCAACGAGUUUCUUCCUGGUCCGAGAGGAAUGGGUAACCUUUUGAAAGUGCAUCGUGAUAGGGAUAGACUAUUGCAAUUAUUGGUCUUCAACGAGGAAUUCCUAGUAGACGUAGUUCAUCAGACUGCAUCGAUUACGUCCCUGCCCUUUGUACACACCGCCCGUCGCUCCUACCGAUUGAAUGCUCAGGUGAGCCAUUCGGACUUUCAUCAUGCUGGUUUCCAGUUUUGAUGAAGGAAAGUCUUGCGAACCUUAUCAUUUAGAGGAAGGAGAAGACGUAACA
This 324-nucleotide ribosomal RNA is filed under the name uncultured eukaryote. RNAcentral's name for it is "partial 18S ribosomal RNA". It matches the Rfam family "Eukaryotic small subunit ribosomal RNA", at positions 1470 to 1796 of the family's 1831-position model. The record is from RNAcentral.